Molecule: ribosomal RNA, 313 nt
Filed under: uncultured archaeon
Lineage: Archaea
Description: bacterial SSU rRNA
Rfam family: Archaeal small subunit ribosomal RNA
Source: RNAcentral
ACACGUAGGUAACCUACCCUCAGGACUGAGAUAACCCCGGGAAACUGGGGCUAAUAUUAGAUAGAUAAAAGAUACUGGAAUGUUCUUUUAUCCAAAGCUUUUGCGCCUGAGGAUGGGCCUGCGUCCGAUUAGGUUGUUGGUGGGGUAAUGGCCCACCAAGCCUGCGAUCGGUACGGGCAGUGGGAGCUGAAGCCCGGAGUUGGGGACUGAGACAAGGCCCCAGGCCCUACGGGGCGCAGCAGGCGCGAAACCUCUGCAAUGCGGGAAACCGUGACAGGGGGAUCCCAAGUGCUCAUGCAUUGCAUGGGCUGUU